RNAcentral lists this ribosomal RNA (387 nucleotides) under uncultured bacterium. RNAcentral describes it as "bacterial SSU rRNA". It matches the Rfam family "Bacterial small subunit ribosomal RNA", at positions 29 to 416 of the family's 1533-position model. The record is from RNAcentral.
AUUGAACGCUGGCGGCAUGCCUUACACAUGCAAGUCGAACGGUAACGCGGGGCAACCUGGCGACGAGUGGCGAACGGGUGAGUAAUGCAUCGGAACGUACCCAGUAGUGGGGGAGUAGCCCGGCGAAAGCCGGAUUAAUACCGCAUACGACCUAAGGGUGAAAGCGGGGGACCGGUAAGGCCUCGCGCUAUUGGAGCGGCCGAUGUCAGAUUAGGUAGUUGGUGGGGUAAAGGGCCUACCAAGCCUUCGAUCUGUAGCUGGUCUGAGAGGACGACCAGCCACACUGGGACUGAGACACGGCCCAGACUCCUACGGGAGGCAGCAGUGGGGAAUUUUGGACAAUGGGCGAAAGCCUGAUCCAGCCAUGCCGCGUGCGGGAAGAAGGCC